Molecule: non-coding RNA, 23 nt
Filed under: Arabidopsis thaliana (thale cress)
Lineage: Eukaryota; Viridiplantae; Streptophyta; Magnoliopsida; Brassicales; Brassicaceae
Source: RNAcentral
ACGCAAAAUGUCUCUAAUCAACA